UAGCUAGAAACGAUAUAUCGUAGUAGGUUUCGGCCCUGCCUUAGGUGGUAGUAACACCCUAGUUAU
This 66-nucleotide transfer RNA is filed under the name Nipponacmea fuscoviridis. RNAcentral's name for it is "tRNA-Arg". The record is from RNAcentral. Lineage: Eukaryota; Metazoa; Mollusca; Gastropoda; Lottiidae.